RNAcentral lists this long non-coding RNA (16197 nucleotides) under Populus trichocarpa (black cottonwood). RNAcentral's name for it is "long non-coding RNA (PTRI_LNC001729)". The record is from RNAcentral. Lineage: Eukaryota; Viridiplantae; Streptophyta; Magnoliopsida; Malpighiales; Salicaceae.
GUACCUCAUGAUGUAGAGUGUCUAACAAUGGAAGAUAAUCAGAUUGUUGAAGACAAGGAAAAGCAGGAGACAUCUACUCCUUUGAGCGAGUCAAUAAUCAUUGGUAAAACUGAAGCGAAAUCUAGGUCUAUCCCCCCACCUGGCUCUGGGCAGAGAAUAUAUGAAAUAGAUCCAAGUUUGACAGGUUUCCGUCAACAUCUUGAUUACCGGUGAGAUACUCUAUCUUUACUCGUGUAAGAUAUUUUUAUGUUGAACUAAGUGUUGAGAGCUUGAAGUAAAACUAAUAAAUGAGCAAUUGCUUCAUGUUAUAUACGAAAGUUUUGGUGAUCAUAUGUGAUAAUUCUCAGCAUCAACAUUUAUCAUUAGCUUUCUUAAUAUUGUUUUUUUUUUCUCUUAAUAUUGUUUUUUAGAAGUACGUUUUUGAAGGUGUCUGUUUUUGAUGAUAUCCUCAGUCUGCAUUCAUGUUAAAGAUCAAACUCCAAUAGAUAUUUCUUGCAUUUUUUCAGACAUAUUUCUAUUUCAACCUUUAGAUAAAGUAGGACUAUAGAAGUAUCUAUUUAAACAAUAGCUUGAAAUAGCUGACUAAGAUUUCAAAUGAAUAUCCUCUACAUCUUUUCCUCCCCAGUCCUCAGCAUUUUUUGCCCUGAUGAUUCUUAUAAACAAAGAGUAAUAUCAUAUGAAGUUUCAACUAAUUUGUUAAGUGUGUUUACUUAAUUCUUUGAAGACUGUUUUGGAUUUGUCUUUUCUCAAUUUAUAUUAGAUACUAAUUCAUUUUGUGCCAUGGUAUGCUAGCACUUUGGAUACCUCUGCAUCACCUAGAAAUUUUUACUGUAUUUUCUUUCCAUAUCCAUUUAUUGUUUUCAUUAUUUUCUCUGUAUAUGGAUAGUGUAAUUAACUUAUGCACUAGCCCACAUCAUAUUUUUUUUCUUUACUAAAAUCAUGCAAGAUAUUGCAUGAAAAAGUGUUUGUUGUUUUCAAUGCUGUUAGAGUCAUACCAAUGAACCCAAGUGCUAUUUUUUCCUGAAAGGACCUAAUAUAUGAUAUGAUUGUCGAGUCUAGUUGUAAGGUUGAGGUGUGAUUAUUUCUUUGUUUAGAAACAUGACAACUGCUGCCUGGAGAGAAGUGCUCCAUGUAUUCUCUCUUUUAUAGUACAAUACUUUGAUGUUUGCUAUCUUUAGACUAGCUUGUUCGUAUAUGUGUAGAAAUAUAUUGAUAGGUGUGUAUAUAUAUAUAUAUAUUUUCAAGGUAUGAUUUUGAAGAUGUUGAUAAAGUUUUUGUAACAUUCUAUAGCUAAUUUAAUCUUUUCCUGAUCGUAGAUAUUCACAGUACAAAAGAAUUCGUGAAGAAAUUGACAAGUAUGAAGGUGGUUUGGAAGUGUUUUCUCGUGGCUAUGAAAAGCUUGGAUUCAUACGCAGGUAUUCUACCUUUUUUAUUUCUGCAGGUUGAAGUCCAUUCAUUUUCUAGUAUUUUUGGCAUAACCAAUUGCACCUUCCAUUUUUGCUGUUACAUAAUGCAAUGUGUUUUCACUUAUAUUUUCUUUUGCGAAGUAAAUGAGCUGUAUCAAAAAAUGAAACUAGUGAUGAGAUGAUCUCAAAAGUGGAAAACACAACAGAAAUUCUUGUAAUUUUGCUUUGCAUUGCAAAUGUUUCUAUUAGUGUGGUGACACUUUGGCCCUUGAGUUCAUUGUUUUCAACAUCAGAGGUUCUCACAAGAAUUUUCAGUUGGUGUUGUGACACUUAUAUUUUUUUCUUCUUUUAGUUCAGUGACUCUUGUUCUGAGGAUAAGCAUAGCACCCAAACUGCAAAGAUGAGAGAUGGGUCAUCAAAUGAACUGGGAAAAAAACUGACUAAAAUUUUGUACCAAGGGUUAAGGUUCACAAAUGUAGAAAUAGUGCAUUUGGAUAGAUUUAGGCAGAUCUGUAUGCAUGUUGUGGUUCAAGAACAAAUAAAUGGGAAAAAAAUUCCCAUGUCCUAGCCAGGCCUCUUAUAAAGAUUGUAAGGUUGUACUGGUCCCAUGAAUUGAAUGCAUAAACUGAGUUCUCUCACUUCAUUGUGAUGGCAAUUGUUUAAUUUACUUGCUCAUCGCUUGUUUGUUUUCAUAUAUGCUCUAUUUGUUUCAUUACCUAUUAUCAUGCUUUAUCUUAAAAAAACCAUUAGUCUGCUAUUCUAGUGUUUAUUUUUUCUUUAUAGCCAAUCAAUUUUAGUUUCCUCGGCACAUCUCACUCUCACUGAUUGUAAUUUCUACUGGUUUCUCAGUGAAACAGGAAUAACCUACAGGGAAUGGGCACCAGGAGCUAAGGUCCGUGCUGUUUCGAUUCUGUCAUGUGGUCCUUAGUUUGUAUAGUAAAUCUCAGAGAAGGCAGUUAUCUCAGGACUGCCUAUUCUCAAAUCUGAUCUAUUUAGUCAUGGCACCUGUAUUACUGAACAAUUGGAUGUAUAUUCAGGCACGAACAAAGGGCAUAUGCUGUUAAUAGCAUAAGCCUCUAUAAAUUUACAUGAGAGGCUGCUUUUUUGUUCAGCAUUUUAGUCAGAGAAAAUGUCCCUCCGAACUGAUUCAAGCUAACAAAUUGACUGGCUAUGAGAUAAUUGUUUUUUGUUCCUGACAAAUAUGUUCGUACAUUGACUAGUUACUAUUUAUUUCAGUGGGCAGCAUUGAUUGGAGAUUUUAACAAUUGGAAUCCCAAUGCAGAUGUCAUGACCCAGGUAUGUUAUCUAUGCUUUUGCUUUAUGUAGCAUUGGAUCCAAUGAUGGAUAUUUUCUGCAUAAUUCCAAUGGUAUUAUUCAUGCUUGUUGGAAUUGUCUGUUAUCUUUUCAAAUGAUUGGUAAAGUGCAUUGAAGCUUUGUCUCCCUUUCUUCUCCUGUACACUUCACAGCAACAGUCUUCUACUAUCUGCUCAUUUUUUUCAGAUUCUGUUUACAUAAACACAUACAUUACUCAUUUUAUUGAUGGAGAAAAAAGGAAAUCUUUAUAUUGGAUUGCUCUACUAUGGAUUCUUUCUGUCUAUUCCAACUCCUGCCUUUCUCAUUUUCCUUUUCUGAUCAUCCUUUCUUCUGCAAUAGAAAAGAAAAGAAAAAUGUAAAUAUUGCUUUGAUAUGUCUUUGUUUGGAAAUGGAAACUGGGAAAACUAAUCAUUUUACAGUUGUUUGAAUCUGUAGUAGAAUCUGAAAGCUUCAAGGAUAUGUCCAAAUAAUACAUACUAGUACUAGUAUGUUUAAUUAACAUAUUGUUGAGAGUCUGGGUCGAAAGAGAAGCCAGUAAGAAUAUGCCAUAAUGAUGGGUGUUUGCAGGAUGUAAUAUCUUCAUAGUUGUGUUUAAACUCCUUUUUUUUUCCUUGUUAGAUCUAUUGUACUAUUUAAAUUCCAAGCAACUGAUUUAUUAUUUUACAGAAUGAAUUUGGUGUCUGGGAAGUGUUCCUUCCAAACAAUGCAGAUGGUUCACCACCAAUUCCCCAUGGUUCUCGAGUAAAGGUAACACAUCUCAAGAUCGAAUACUAAAAUCUUACCGUGUAAAUUAGAGUUUAUGCAUUAAACUUGAUGCUCCUUGCUCAUGAAUUUUUUUCUGUGCUUGUCACUUUUGGCAAGCAAGAGAAAUAAGUUUGCGACUUUCAUUUGAAGUCUAAAAAUGUGCAUUUCCAUACAAAGUGAGAGCUUCUAGGAUUUUUUUGUCUCUUCUGCUUGUUUUCUUGAACUUUAAAAGAAUACCAGGAGCCUCUUGCUCAGCACCUGGUGAAUAUCAUGUGAAAUCAAGCCACUUUUACACAACAAGAAAAGGAUCUUUUGGCAGUGUAAUUUUGUCUUCUUAACUUUGCUAUUCAGUAUUCAUAACACAAGAAAAACAAACUGAAUGUAUGAUAUCGGCUUCAGCUUCAUAUUAGUUUCUUGCAUUUAAUUUAAGCUAGAUCUUUUCAUUUCCAGUCAGCUGCAAAAGGAGAUGAUUAUAAGUAUUAUUCAAGGCCCUGAGCUUGUUUAGUUUUAAAAACUUUGCUCCGCUAUUUAAAUACAUCAAAGAUGGUGAAUCUGUUUUUGAUUGCGUGUUUGUAGAUACGCAUGGAUACUCCUUCUGGCAUUAAAGAUUCUAUUCCUGCUUGGAUUAAGUUCUCAGUACAGGCUCCAGGAGAAAUCCCAUACAAUGGCAUUUAUUAUGAUCCACCGGAGGAGGUACACUUCUUGCUUGGGUUUCUCAUGGUUGCUGAAUAUAUUGUGAUGAUUUGGACCUAUAUUUUGCAUACACUAUCAUGAACUUAGGUUAAGGCAACAGAAAAUGUCAAUCUAAAAAUAAUGUUAGCAAUAAUUUAAGCAAGCCUUUGAGAGUUCAGGAAAAGGAAUUGUCAGUGUUGAUCCUAAUCCUGAGCUAUAGAUUUUUAGGCAAGUGACCCCUCAAGCGACUAACUAUGCACUUUGUUUGGGAGACUGAGAAUUUGGAACAUCAAGGAAUAACUCCCUAAGUUUUCAAAAUGUUGCACCAAAUAAUGUCCUCACUUUCUAAUUUUACUGUAUAUUACUAUUGAAAAACAAACAGGUUUCAAAGUUUAAAAUUGUUAGUUAGAGCCAUACAAGUCAAACAUUAUUAGUAUUUUCAGACUGCCUCAAGGGUAAGAAAGCAUUCCAAAGGUCUUGAGAUUUAGGGGAGUUUUUCAGCAUAAAGGAUGAGGAGUGCAAGGAAGAUUGGCUAUGCUUGGAUGGAUAGUUUGAGGAGGGUACGAGGGGAGGAGGGUUUGUGGACGGCAGUAUGGUUUUUUACAUGGUUGUGAGGCGAAGAUUGAUAGAGAAAGGGAGGGACAGAAAAUACUUGCUGAAAUACAAGGCUGGACUGUGUCUUGGUCUAGUAUUAGAAUCAUAAUUACCAUAUAGUCAGGUGGUUGAAUCCUGGGAAACUCAAUUAUUAAAAUUAAUAGUUCCAUAUACACAUGAUCCAUCCAGUUUCAAAGACCAGAUGGGCUUUCCGCAUCUGUUUGGGUGGCUGGGGAAUCUCCUUUCUGAGAUUAAAAAGGAAUCAGUAUGUGUGUAUCAUGCUAAGACUACAAGGGCUAGUGAGGUUGUUUCAAAACAACUUAUUGAUCAAUGCCAAUUUUUCAACGGUCAAUUUAGAAGGCGUUUGGCAACGCGUUAGCGUUUGCGUUUUUUUAAAAACGCAUGAAUGGCCGUUUGGUUACAAAUGUUAUCCUAAUUAAAACACAUGGGUCCCGCCAUUUAUAUGCGGCAGGACCACGAUUCUUUAGAAGCAGUAUUUUAGUGCUUUUGCACGAGAGUUUCAACCUGUGAUGGGCACACUGUUCAGUGAAUUGCACUGUUCACGUGAACAAUGCAGUUCACUUGCACUGUUUACGUGCACAGUUUUAGUUUGUUUGUUUUUUUUUUUUUUAAGUCUGUUUUUUUAAGAGCUUUUUUUGAAAAAAAACUAGUUUAGAGUAAAUUAAAUACACUCGCAUUGUGAAAUGAACAAUAUUUUUUUUUCCCGAAAAACUAGUAUAGAGUAAAUUAAAUUCACUCGCACUGUAAUAUCAAUUUUAUUUUAUCUGAUUUUAUUACACGCUCACAAAAUUAUGAAAACUAUAGUUCUUACCGGUUGAAUUUUGUAUGUAAUGGAAUUAUAAAUAGUUUAAUGGAAUAAUAAAAAAUAUUUUAUAUUUAUAUCAAGUAUUAUUUAUUUCAUGAUGUAAUAAGAGUAGUUAAUUCUAUAAUAUUUAAAUUUAAAACCAUCAAUAUUAAUAUAUAUAUAUAUAUAUAUUUUAAAAUUAUUUUAUAACCUCAAUUUCAAAAGCAUUUUUAACCAAACACAUUAAACUAUUUUUUCUUCAACCUCAAUUUCAACCACAGUUUUAACCAAACACCUAUUUUUUCAAACCAACCUCAACUAAAAGUACUUUUUAUAAAACAACUUUUUUUAAACCACAACCACAACAGCUACCGCAAUACCAAACACACUCUUAAAUAUCCAAAUAACUCAGCAAAGAGUAGCCUUUUCCCGAAAUUGUUAGGUGCUGGUACUGUUGCAUCUAGUAACACAUACUUGGAACCCUCAGACCCAGUUAUUAAUGGUCUAACAGGCUGGUGCACGCGCAGAAAGAAGUUUUGGAAUGGCUCAAAAGAAGUGUUGUUAUAGUACAUACUCCUAAAGUGGCCCUGCCAUAGUAAGUUCUGGUCCAUUCCAUUGCAGGAUAAGACCUGUGGGAGGUAUCCUUGCAGCUCACAUUUGACUCCCCUGAUGAUACGGGUCAAAUACUCUAAACUGCUAGUGGUUGCUUAGGUUUUUAUUUAUGAUUGGUUAGACCAUGGAUAGCAAAGACAUUGGUUUAGAUCGUUAUAUUUGGGGUGAAUGAGCUCAAGAGUCUUAUAUUAUCAAUUUUGUUUUAAUGACACUCAUUUUUCUAAAUUUCUUAAUCCAAUCACUGUACUACUGAUUCGUCAAUACCAUUGGACCACCUGUUACUUAUGGCGUUAUUUGUCUGUUAAUUUUGGAAUAUGCUCUUUUAUAUUUGAAAAAAGUCAUAAAAAAUAAGAAAUAGAUAAUGAAUUCUAAAAGCUUACAAACAUUAAAAUUAUAAAUAUUAAAGUCCUAACAAUGAUUAUUAGCCCUUGCAUAUAAUUAAUCAUUUUAGAAAUUAAAAAGAAAAUUAAACUAAUAAAAAAUAAGAUAAUCAAUUCACAUUAAAAAAAUAAAUGAAAACAAAAUCUAAACUAAAUUGUUUUAAAAAAAAGACAUAUCUAGAUUUUCUCUCGCAUUUUUUUCAUGAAAACCAAACUAUUACAAACCACAUGUCCAAAUUCUUAUGUAUUUCAUUAAAAAAUCCAAUUUUGUUACGUGGUUUCCAACUUUUUUACUAUAUGAACUCUUUUUAGAUAUAGUUGUUUGAUAAUAGAAGGGUUGUGCUAGUGACUAAAAGUUUGUUUGGGAUUUAGUUGAAUUUCUUAUAAUUUUUUUAAACUGGUGCGAUAAUGAAAGGUUGUAAUGGAAAGGAUUUUUAUUAUUUAAUUGAGCCUUUUGUUUCUUUUUUAUUUUCACUCAAUUUCAUAAUUGUUUUUUGUUCUACAAUUUUAAUUAAUAAAAAUGUAAUUAUAAAUCAAGGAAUGAUAAAUUGGUCGGUUAUAGUUUUGUCAAUUUUAUUUAUUUGGUUCUCAUAUUUUCAUUUUAUGCUGUUAACAUUUUUUUUAAAAAGACUAAUUUAUUUCUUAUUUUUAUAUGAUAUUUUUCUAAUAUAAAUAAGUAUAUUCCAAAAACUAUUUCAAAGUUAUUGGUUAAACAAUACCGUUAGUGAUGGAAGGAAUAACAUUAUGGACAAAACAAUGGUACAAAGGUUGAAUUAAGAAAUCUCAAAGAUGAGGGACCUCAUCAAGAUAAAAUCGAUAAUAUAGGGAUAAUAUAGGGAUCCUCGUGCUUGUUAACCCAUUAUAUUUUCUUAAGAAUUCAUGGUGCUCUGCUUUAUGCUCGCUGCCCAGAUGUUUUCUAGUCUUUAGUCUCCUUUGUUUGCCUCGAGUUUUGAUGAUUGCCAUGGAUAGAAAAAUCAUCAAUCAAACCAUUUCUGUAAUAAACAAUGGUGGUAGUUUUGUUGUCCAAAUAAAUGAAGAUUAGCACAUGUUUUUCACCUUUUCCGGAGGUGUUACACUCCCAAUGAGAUGUGCCAACCAUUGAUAAGCAACAAUUCUUCCAAUGCAAAUGAUUCUCAUAUCAUGUUGGAGAAUCUAUUGCAGAUGGCAACACUUCGUUGCUCCAAACAACCUAGAUAAUCCAUUAGAGGGGUACAUUGAUGCUGCAGAUGGGCUUUCCAUGGAUAAACAGGGGAAAUUCAAAUACAUGGGAAAUGCCACAGGCCCCUAGGCAGCAUGCACAGUCAAGGUCUUUGUGUUUCUGAAGUUUGUCUUGGAGAUGGCAUAGAAGGCUUUUACCUCUCCUUUGGGAUUGGUUUGGACCAACUCUUUAUGCCUGCUUCUUAAGUCCCAUCUCAAGCAGCUUUCCAGUCCUUCAUUUGUUCAACCAUGAGAAUAUAACAAGAUUCACACUUCUCCCUUGCCAAUUUCUUUGCCCCAUGUCUCGUUUCUAGCACCAUACAAUAGUCAAAGUUCUUUGAGUGAUGAUUUUCACAUUCCCUUAAUUGUGUUGAGAAAGGGAAGAAGAAAUAAGGUUGAAGCCAGGAAAAGAAAAGAAACAUCUAUAUUUGUAUCUCGAGGCUAUUUUCUCAAAGAUUAGCCAUGUUGCUUAUAAGGUUUAAAAAGUUAAAAUCAAUUGAUGUUUAGUGCAGUAAGAAUGUUUGCUGCUGAUGAAAAGAUGGUGGUGGAUAAUAGAAUGUCGGAGCCCAUCAAUGAAGUCUUGGAGACUUUGAACUUAGAUGAAACCUUGGUUAUUAUAGUUAAGAGAAGAGAUUGGCUUUUUAAAGAUUUCCAACUCACUCUUCAUGAUGAUCAAGUGUGGCCGGCCAUGAAGGGUAUUGAAGAAUUCCUUGUUUUUGAUUGCAGUCUUUCUUGGGUCUGUUGGUCCUUGUUUCUCCUGAUCUGGGCACCAUUAUGUCGUAUGAAAGCAUGUUUCCAAUUUCUUGUGUUGUAACUUUGGGCCCCCCAGCACUUUUGUUGUGUUGGUUGUUUAGUAUCUUAGGCUCUUUACCCUGUGUGUUUGUCUUGGCUGGGCCUUGCUCUCUCUAGGUUGUAGCUUCUGUCAUGUCUUAUUUUCAUCCAUGUGAGUUAUAAUGGUGGUAGUGGUGCUCUUUAGUUUUGUCUGGCUUGGUGUUGCCUUAUCACCCAUCUUUGUUUCCUUUUUUUCUUUCUUUCUAAUAAAGAGUACUACUUGAUUUAUGUAAAAGAAGAAGAAGAAGCAAGUUGAAGAUUGAGAUGAUUCUACAAAAGAAUGAUCCUUAGCAGAAGAAGCCAUCCUGGAUUACUUCUUUGUCCAGCAACUCACAAGUCAUGAGCCUCUUGUCAUUCAUGAUCUUAGUGAAAUCUAUAAGCUACUCACUACAACACCAAUGGUCAAUAAAAUCAGUCAUCAUAUUGAACAAGCAUCAGAUCUAAAAACUUAAGCUUUGAAGUAGAAGCCAAAUGCAUAAAUAUCAUAACAACUAUGCUUGAGUAAUCCGUGUUAUUAGUUGUGGCUUUAAUUUGUGUUCAUUUGAGAACCAACAAGCAUUAGCUGCAGUUCAUGAUGUAAAACACUCAAAAUUGUAUUAAAUGAUUGAAAAUCUAUUCCAUUUUCUUCAUAAUUUCUGUUUGAGGUCUGUGGCUUUGCACAUUGAUGCUAUUGCUUACUUCUUUGCAGGAAAAGUAUAUAUUCAAACAUCCUCAACCAAAGAGACCAGAGUCACUUAGGAUUUAUGAAGCUCAUGUCGGAAUGAGUAGUACGGUGUGCAUCUUCUCCCAUUAUGUCUCAUGUUACAAGCUCUUAUUCACUGCUUCCUUGUACUGGUGAUUAAAAUCAUUCAUGAUUGGAUGGUGUUCAAACAUGUAGAGCUGUUUUAUAUCUUGGCAAAUAUUUAUUAAAAAGAAAUUGGGAGUUAAUGCAGAAUGCUUCUUUGAAUUGUCAUGGUAGAAGUAUCUACAAAUGCCUCUAUAAUGAUGGAGCAUGACCAGUCACUAUACUCAUGCUUCACUAAUCCUGCCAAAUAGUGCAAGAUGACAUUUUCUUAAAGAACAGUGGUCUGUACCAGCAACCUUGUUCAGGGUUCUGGUCCUCCUCAAAGCCUGGACAAUGCGAUAUGCCCGAAACCAUAUUGUCUUGCCCUUGCAUGAUUGAACGAACACCAAUCAAAGGCAAUGGUUUAGGGUACUGUCAUGUGAUUAUUUUUACUACAUACUUCUGAUUUCCUUCUUUCAAUUACCACGCCAAAUUUUUACAAUUUAUGUAUUUUGUUGAAAUAUCUCUGCAUGAUGAGAAUGGUUAGGUUACAGAUCUUAAUACAUUAUGGCAUGACCUUUAUUUGGACUCUUUAAUCUUUCUCUUGCUUAUUCCUAUUUAAUUUGCAGCCUCUUCAUUCUAUCCCUCGUAAUUUUGCCACUUCUUAAAUGCAGGAGCCAUUAAUCAACACAUAUGCCAACUUUAGAGAUGAUGUGCUUCCUCGGAUCAAAAAACUUGGUUAUAAUGCUGUUCAGAUUAUGGCUAUUCAAGAGCAUUCAUAUUAUGCUAGUUUUGGGUAUUUCCUUUAUUUAGGAUAAAGCUCCACUUUCUAUUAUUCCCCUUUUUUCUUUUACAUGUAUAUUUUCCCAAAGCUUGGUGUUCAUUAGCAUAGUGGGCAGUUUUUGCUUCCCUGUAAACUCACGAAUUCCUUUUGAUGAUAUGAAGGUACCAUGUCACAAAUUAUUUUGCACCCUGUAGUCGAUGUGGAACCCCUGAUGAUCUGAAGUCUCUGAUAGAUAGAGCUCACGAGUUAGGUCUGCUUGUUCUCAUGGAUAUUGUUCACAGGUAACUUUCCAUUAAGUACAAUAUGUAGAAAUGACUGGUGUAGACUCAAAACUUUAAAUUCUGAUGAUUUUGGCGAAUUGACUUCUAUAAGUUAAAGAGGAAGAAACAAACUUGAAAAAUGCAUGAAUUAUGGAAAUUAUUAUUUGGGUGUAGUGGCUUUCAAAUGUUCAUUCUUGAAUAACCACUAUUUACAUCUUUGUAUUUUAGUAUUUAUUAGAAAAGUUUGAGCCAUCUUAAAGUAAGAAUAUGUUCUGAAGAUUAAUUGGAAUCUUGAGAUGAAAAGUCAUUCAUCUAGGGUUAUGUGCAGGAAUACAUGAAUCAUAACCUUCAUUAAUCCGUAGCUUUUAUUUAUUUUUCACUAAACCAUGUCUUUGAGACAAGUUAACAAUGGGCAAGAACAGAACCUAUCAUUUGUGAACUCAUCAUGCUAUCAUUCAGUAAGUUUGGUAUGAUAGCAGCUCUUUUCUUAAGUGUGCUUGCUAAUAUUUUGGGUGUCACUUAUUCUGUUUGAUUGGAUAAAUAACUUUUUUAAUGCUUUUAUUCAAUCUUUCAUUCCAUAAAUCAUAGUGAACAUUCAUUACCGAUUAUUACUUGAUCUCCUAGUAAUAAUCUUUCUUUUGGUUGACAACUAAUAUCAAAUGAAUCCAGCCAUGCAUCGAACAAUACUUUGGAUGGUUUGAAUAUGUUCGAUGGAACUGAUAAUCACUACUUCCACUCUGGUUCACGGGGACAUCAUUGGAUGUGGGACUCUCGCCUUUUCAACUAUGGGAGCUGGGAAGUAUGUGCUUGUUUGAAUCUUCAGCAACAGUAUUUGUCUGGAAUUUUUAUUUUUCAUUUGUCUUUUUCUUAUAGUUGGUGAGGACUAAAUACUUGCUCAUUGGUUUAGGUACUGAGGUUUCUUCUUUCAAAUGCAAGAUGGUGGCUGGAUGAAUAUAAGUUUGAUGGGUUCAGAUUUGAUGGUGUGACUUCGAUGAUGUACACCCACCAUGGGUUGCAGGUAUCAUUUAGGUUCUUUAGGGUAUAUUAUUUUUGUUUGCCUAAUCAGGUAACAAUCUCUCAAGUUCUAUGAAGCCUUGGAUGUGCUCAAUUAGAGGGAUAAAAGUUAUAGAUGCUUGAUUCUUAAACCUUAUGUGACUACUAUGGCUAGGCUCAUUAUGCUUAUUUUGAUGUUUCCUUUUAGCUCUAUUAGGGCUAUGGGUGGUGGAACUUAAUUGUUUGGUGUUCUAUUUGACUUAUGAUUGAAUGACAGAUAUUUUCUUUGGUUAUUUUUUCCAACUUGAUGCAGAUGACUUUUACUGGAAACUACAAUGAGUACUUUGGAUAUGCAACUGACAUAGAUGCUGUCGUAUAUCUGAUGGUUGUUAAUGAUAUGAUUCAUGGUCUCUUCCCUGAUGCUGUUAGCAUUGGUGAAGAUGUAAGUUUUUGCCCCCUAGAGGAAUCAACAGCUACAGUUAAUCCAAUGCCAGACCUCUCUGCUUGCUCAUGUUUAUAAUUUUCUUUUUUACUUUGCAGGUCAGUGGAAUGCCAACAUUCUGCAUUCCUGUCCAAGAUGGUGGCGUGGGAUUUGAUUAUCGCCUCCACAUGGCCAUUGCUGAUAAAUGGAUUGAGCUUCUCCAGUAUGUUGCCACUGAAACUCUCCAACCUCUUUUUGACUGCCUUGAAUCUGCAUCUUCUUGUUUGAUGCUAUUUUAAGGUCUUUUCUGGCAGUCACUUUCUAUUUGUACUGGGUGUAGGAAGAAGGAUGAAGACUGGAGAAUGGGUGACAUUGUACACACUCUCACUAACAGAAGGUGGCUGGAAAAGUGCGUUUCAUAUGCUGAAAGUCAUGACCAAGCUCUUGUUGGUGACAAGACCAUUGCAUUCUGGUUGAUGGACAAGGUUAUAUGAGUUCUUUCCCAUAUCAUUCCAAAAUCAAAAUUUAUGCACAUGUUUAUUAGAGAAUAUUGUUUUUCUCUUGACUGUUUACACCAGUGGGAGAAAUGAUGCAUUAGGUAGAACAGAAAAAUAAUGGUUAACAUUUGAACAAGUUUAAAGUUUGAAGAAGAGAAUGAGGUGCAGGGUUUGUAGAAAUUCUAACUAUUGUAAAUAUUAAUUAAACUGAUUUGUCUUCUACAAUACUUCUGAUAGCCUAUUUAUUGUAGUUAUAACCAUUGUAGGAAUAGAAAUUGCCACAAAUCCUAGUUGACUACUAUCAUUAAAUGUCAGAUAUACAUAACUAGAUCGAAAUAGCAUAAGGAUUUGUGAAACUAAAAAAGAACACCAAAAUCAGUAAGGAAAACAAACUUUUCUUCGCAAUCCCCAUGGAGAACUUGACUCUAGCAAGAAGACUUUUUGCAUCUGGUGCAUAUAUCUAGGGCUUAGCUUUCUUUAUUCAUCUUAUUUUAUCAGAGUACUUUCUUCAGAGUUGAAGUAGGGUGAGGAGGAAACCAGCAAUUACUGCAGAUAUAAUGGCUAAAACUAUAAGAAAAUUGAAGCUCAAACUUAUAAACAUUGAUUUGCCGGUUUGUAGAGAAACCUCUACAGUAUAUUUAUAGGAAAUAAAAGAUGUCUGUAAAUUAGCCAAAGCAACCUUAUUUAUAUUAGUUCCAAGUCUAAAUCCUGAUCCUUAUAGAGUGAAUCACAUUUCAAAGUUACAUGAAAAUUGAAAACCCAAAUAACUAGAGGAUUCCUAAACUAAACAACAACACUAAAAUUACUAAGGAAAAUAUAAAUUCUUCCAAAAGUUCAUGUGCCAAUCAAUGGAUGCAGGGUGGCAAGAGGAAAACAAUAGAAACAGAAAAUUCGGCACUGUAAUGGCUAAAACUAGAAGGAUAUUGAAGCUGGAACAGGAUAAUAAGUUUAGGGCUCGCCAUUAAACCUUUAAAAUUUGAAUAGAUCUACAUCUAUCUUCUAUAUGACCAUUAAAUUGAUGAAGUUUUUGAAGUUGUUGAGUAAUUGUAGGCAUGAUCCCUUUCAAUUAUAGUGUCAUGUCAGCAAUACAAUUUUUUUUCCUAGGCACACUGCUUGAACCAUUAGGAUGUUACUAUUUAGGGACUCCAAAAUGUGUCAUUUUAUUUGUAUUUAUCAAAGGAAAACAUGUCAUUCUAUUUUUUUUUGUGUUAUUUCAUCUUAAACAUUUGGAAUGAGGAAAAAAACACAAAAUCUUAAAUUCUUGGGAUGAGACACCAUGUCGUUUUGCUUUAUAUAUAAAUGUUUUCCUAUAGAGCAGUGAUCCCAAAAGUUACAAACUCCCAAGUUAUUAAAAAAUUUACCAUUUUCUACUAUAUUUUUCUGUUUUUCUUCCUACUCCACAUCAUAAAACCCUAUGGUUUAUCAAGCUGGGAAUCAGUCUUCUAAUUCUCCAUUUGUCUCAGGAUAUGUACGACUUCAUGGCUCUUGAUAGACCAUCAACUCCUCUUGUAGAUCGUGGAAUAGCAUUGCACAAAAUGAUCCGGCUUAUUACCAUGGGUUUAGGAGGAGAAGGAUAUUUGAAUUUUAUGGGAAAUGAGUUUGGACACCCUGGUAAGAAUAUUUAUGAAUUUUAUUACCAUGGUUAUUACUAUUCUUUAAUGUCUUCUUAUUGGUUCUAUCAUCAUUUAAUGAAUUUUUAUUAAAUUGGUAGCUUUUAUAAUGUCGGUGUGCUUUUCUUUUAUUCUUCUCAGAGUGGAUUGAUUUCCCAAGGGGCGAUCAGCGCCUUCCUACUGGUAAAAUUAUUCCAGGCAAUAAUAACAGUUUUGAUAAAUGCCGGCGUAGAUUUGAUCUAGUAAGUUUAUGCCUGAUUUUGAAACCUAAUCUGACCAUUGCAGUUUAUUCUUGGCUCAAUUGGAGCUUGAAAAAGUGUUGGUCUUAAUAACCAUUACUUGCACUGAAAAACAAACUGAUGAACCCACGAGGAAUUUUAAGAAUUGUUGAAACAAAGUAGCUCUUCCACCUGGUUUCUGGAAUUUACUCACAUCUGACAUGUGUUGAUUUUUCAUGCGUGCCCAGGGGGAUGCAGAAUAUCUAAGAUACCAUGGAAUGCAAGAAUUUGAUCGGGCAAUGCAGCAUCUUGAAGAAAUCUAUGGUGUAAGUUCCUAUCAUACUGUUAUGUAGCAUAGUUUUGGCUGCUGGUGAGCUGCAUUUAUGGAUUAUGAACUUAUAUUUAUUUAUUUGCUUGAAUGCAUCUUAUAUUAAGCAAGGUAAAGGAGCCAGUGUCUCCAUAUUCUAGCUUGAUUCGUUUUUUCUAUUUCAUGUCUGUGGGCUGAGAUGGUGGAAGCCUGCAAUUAUUUACUUGUAUCACAUGGUUUCAAAUCUCUGCAAGAUAUUGCAAAGCAAAGCGUAUCUCAUUAACCUGUAAGAGAGUUGAAAUCAUUUCAAAUCAUGUCCCACCAUACCACAUUCCAAUAGCAACAUAUUUGCAAACAUUGAGCUAUAUUUUUCUCUUUUCAUAAGAAAAUUCAACUUUUCUUUCUAGGUCUUCAAACACACUGGUACUGUUCUUUUUAACUGUUACACUUGACUAUUUAUUUUAAAAAUAUAUUGACAAGCUAUUUUAACUCUAAUCGAGAUUAGAAAAAAUAUUCUCCAUCUUGCUUGUGAAACAGCUACGGUUUAAGCAGAUUGCUCGCAUUUAAAAGUCUCACAUUUUAAAGUCUUUUUAAAUGUACUUCAUUUCCCAAAUUUUUUUCUGUUCACUUCUCUUGGUUUGGAAUUUUAGAGUUUUACACACUGAAAUUAGCUGACUAUAUCUGUCCUUGAAAUUGCUUUAUCUUUGGUGCUUAAUUUAGACUGUUGAACCCCAUCCCCAACAAAGGAUCAUUCUCACCUUCAUUUCUAUUUCAAUUAUUGGCAUGAAAUACCGAACCAGCAAAUCUAUGAGUUUGCUACCCUGUGCUUGCAAAAUUUAAGAUAAAUGUGAAAAAUAAAUUAAAAAUGUUAAGGCUUAAAUGGUAACUGUUUUUGCAGUUCAUGACAUCUGAGCACCAAUAUAUAUCACGGAAAAACGAAGGGGAUCGAGUUAUUGUCUUCGAAAGAGGGAACUUGGUUUUUGUCUUUAAUUUUCAUUGGACCAACAGUUAUUCAGAUUACCGAGUAGGCUGCUUAAAGCCAGGAAAGUACAAGGUAUUCACUGUAACCUUUUCUAACCUUUUCUAUAUGCUUGCACAAGUAAUAAAGGUUAUGAAAAUUAAAAAAAACAAAAACAAAAUCAACAGUGCUAAUUGUGCCCGCCCUUUUGUAUGCUCAGUAUUGAUUAAUCUAUGUUUAGGAAUGUGUAGGCUUUCAAUUCAGUUCAGUUCUGUUUAUAGAUAUCUUGUAAAUCCCCAGCAUUUUAAAACUUGUAAUCUAGUUGAUGCCUCGUGCUGUGCUAGUUUGCCUCAAAUUUUCCACUUCUAUUUAUAAAACACAUUUUGUUCUUUGCCUGCAGAUUGUUUUAGAUUCUGAUGAUCCAUUGUUUGGAGGCUUCAAAAGGCUUGAUAAGGAUGCUGAGUACUUCAGCUCAGUAAGAAAAUUCUCUCAAGUUUGUUACCUGAAUUUAGUUUCAUCCUCAUCCGUCUUCCACUGGGCAAUUCCUUGUAAAUAUUAGAAUAUUUGUCAACAUUUAUGUGGUGAUUGUGCAGGAAGGGUGGUAUGAUGACCGGCCUCGUUCCUUCCUGGUGUAUGCACCAAGUGGAGGAUGAAUUGGAACCUGCUGAGAGUGAAAAUGAACCUGCUGAGGGCUGAUAUUGAUCUCAACAAAACCUUUCUCGAUUUAGGAAUGGCAUCAGGCAUCUUCAAUCGACAUAGUACAUGGAGGACCAUGAUUUAAGUCAAUCCUAGUGCCAUUGCCAGCAUUUUGUCAUCCAAGCACAACCAAGA